This is a long non-coding RNA of Etheostoma spectabile (orangethroat darter), 78 nucleotides long. RefSeq lists it as uncharacterized. The record is from RefSeq and is a predicted model, not a curated record. Lineage: Eukaryota; Metazoa; Chordata; Actinopteri; Perciformes; Percidae. The transcript has 3 exons.
UCUGUGAGUGCACACCAUUUGGCACUAUCCUGUUUGUACUUUGUUUGUCGACUAAACACCCCAGUUAAUGUUUACUGU